This 1521-nucleotide ribosomal RNA is filed under the name Shigella dysenteriae. RNAcentral describes it as "bacterial SSU rRNA". It matches the Rfam family "Bacterial small subunit ribosomal RNA". Lineage: Bacteria; Pseudomonadati; Pseudomonadota; Gammaproteobacteria; Enterobacterales; Enterobacteriaceae. The record is from RNAcentral.
AGAGUUUGAUCAUGGCUCAGAUUGAACGCUGGCGGCAGGCCUAACACAUGCAAGUCGAACGGUAACAGAAAGCAGCUUGCUGCUUUGCUGACGAGUGGCGGACGGGUGAGUAAUGUCUGGGAAACUGCCUGAUGGAGGGGGAUAACUACUGGAAACGGUAGCUAAUACCGCAUAACGUCGCAAGACCAAAGAGGGGGACCUUCGGGCCUCUUGCCAUCGGAUGUGCCCAGAUGGGAUUAGCUAGUAGGUGGGGUAACGGCUCACCUAGGCGACGAUCCCUAGCUGGUCUGAGAGGAUGACCAGCCACACUGGAACUGAGACACGGUCCAGACUCCUACGGGAGGCAGCAGUGGGGAAUAUUGCACAAUGGGCGCAAGCCUGAUGCAGCCAUGCCGCGUGUAUGAAGAAGGCCUUCGGGUUGUAAAGUACUUUCAGCGGGGAGGAAGGGAGUAAAGUUAAUACCUUUGCUCAUUGACGUUACCCGCAGAAGAAGCACCGGCUAACUCCGUGCCAGCAGCCGCGGUAAUACGGAGGGUGCAAGCGUUAAUCGGAAUUACUGGGCGUAAAGCGCACGCAGGCGGUUUGUUAAGUCAGAUGUGAAAUCCCCGGGCUCAACCUGGGAACUGCAUCUGAUACUGGCAAGCUUGAGUCUCGUAGAGGGGGGUAGAAUUCCAGGUGUAGCGGUGAAAUGCGUAGAGAUCUGGAGGAAUACCGGUGGCGAAGGCGGCCCCCUGGACGAAGACUGACGCUCAGGUGCGAAAGCGUGGGAGCAAACAGGAUUAGAUACCCUGGUAGUCCACGCCGUAAACGAUGUCGACUUGGAGGUUGUGCCCUUGAGGCGUGGCUUCCGGAGCUAACGCGUUAAGUCGACCGCCUGGGGAGUACGGCCGCAAGGUUAAAACUCAAAUGAAUUGACGGGGGCCCGCACAAGCGGUGGAGCAUGUGGUUUAAUUCGAUGCAACGCGAAGAACCUUACCUGGUCUUGACAUCCACGGAAGUUUUCAGAGAUGAGAAUGUGCCUUCGGGAACCGUGAGACAGGUGCUGCAUGGCUGUCGUCAGCUCGUGUUGUGAAAUGUUGGGUUAAGUCCCGCAACGAGCGCAACCCUUAUCCUUUGUUGCCAGCGGUCCGGCCGGGAACUCAAAGGAGACUGCCAGUGAUAAACUGGAGGAAGGUGGGGAUGACGUCAAGUCAUCAUGGCCCUUACGACCAGGGCUACACACGUGCUACAAUGGCGCAUACAAAGAGAAGCGACCUCGCGAGAGCAAGCGGACCUCAUAAAGUGCGUCGUAGUCCGGAUUGGAGUCUGCAACUCGACUCCAUGAAGUCGGAAUCGCUAGUAAUCGUGGAUCAGAAUGCCACGGUGAAUACGUUCCCGGGCCUUGUACACACCGCCCGUCACACCAUGGGAGUGGGUUGCAAAAGAAGUAGGUAGCUUAACCUUCGGGAGGGCGCUUACCACUUUGUGAUUCAUGACUGGGGUGAAGUCGUAACAAGGUAACCGUAGGGGAACCUGCGGUUG